UACGUAGGGCGCAAGCGUUUAUCCGGAAUUAUUGGGCGUAAAGAGCUCGUAGGCGGUCUGUCACGUCGGGAGUGAAAACACGGGGCUUAACCCCGUGCCUGCUUCCGAUACGGGCAGACUAGAGGUAUGCAGGGGAGAACGGAAUUCCUGGUGUAGCGGUGAAAUGCGCAGAUAUCAGGAGGAACACCGGUGGCGAAGGCGGUUCUCUGGGCAUUACCUGACGCUGAGGAGCGAAAGUGUGGGGAGCGAACAGG
Molecule: ribosomal RNA, 254 nt
Filed under: uncultured bacterium
Lineage: Bacteria
Description: partial 16S ribosomal RNA
Rfam family: Bacterial small subunit ribosomal RNA
Source: RNAcentral